This 497-nucleotide ribosomal RNA is filed under the name uncultured Flavobacteriales bacterium. RNAcentral describes it as "partial 16S ribosomal RNA". It matches the Rfam family "Bacterial small subunit ribosomal RNA", at positions 19 to 494 of the family's 1533-position model. Lineage: Bacteria; Pseudomonadati; Bacteroidota; Flavobacteriia; Flavobacteriales. The record is from RNAcentral.
CUGGCUCAGGAUGAACGCUAGCGGCAGGCCUAACACAUGCAAGUCGAGGGGUAACAGGAAAAGCUUGCUUUUUUGCUGACGACCGGCGCACGGGUGCGUAACGCGUAUGCAAUUUGCCCUAUACUGGGGGAUAGCCCGGAGAAAUCCGGAUUAAUACCCCAUAAUAUUGUUUCUUCGCAUGUUGAGACAAUUAAAGUUCCGGCGGUAUAGGAUAAGCAUGCGUCCUAUUAGCUAGUUGGUAAGGUAACGGCUUACCAAGGCGACGAUAGGUAGGGGGUCUGAGAGGAUGAUCAGCCACACCGGGACUGAGACACGGCCCGGACUCCUACGGGAGGCAGCAGUGGGGAAUAUUGCGCAAUGGGCGAAAGCCUGACGCAGCCAUGCCGCGUGUGUGAAGAAGGGGCCUUCGGGGGUUGUAAAGGCACUUUCAAUUGGGGAAGAAGGGUUGGGUAGGCUAAUACCUGCCAGCUGUGACAUUACCUUUAGAAAGAAGCACC